AGGACGAACGCUGGCGGCGUGCUUAACACAUGCAAGUCGAACGGUGACCUUCGGAGCUUGCUCCGAGGUGAUCAGUGGCGAACGGGUGAGUAACACGUGAGUAACCUGCCCCAGACUCUGGGAAUAACCCCGGGAAACCGGAGCUAAUACCGGAUAUGACACGGAGAGGCAUCUCCACCGUGUGGAAAGUUUUUCGGUCUGGGAUGGACUCGCGGCCUAUCAGCUUGUUGGUGAGGUAAUGGCUCACCAAGGCGACGACGGGUA
RNAcentral lists this ribosomal RNA (264 nucleotides) under uncultured bacterium. RNAcentral's name for it is "partial small subunit ribosomal RNA". It matches the Rfam family "Bacterial small subunit ribosomal RNA", at positions 26 to 285 of the family's 1533-position model. The record is from RNAcentral.